UUUUCCUCUCUCCCAUCGUUCCCCAUCUCUCUCAAGCCAUUGAUGGGGGCACCUUUCCUUCGAUCUGCCGGCUUGGUUCUCUGACGAGCUCCCCUUCCACUAUAACCCUCUUAUCCAACCCAAGCUCCUCCAUUCUCCUCCCUCCUUUCCUCCCAUCUCAUCAGCCCACUCCUUUUUCGCUGCGUGCUUCAAGCGAUGGAGGAACAGAUGCAGAGCCCAGCCACCGUCUCUGGAAACGGCGAGCCCAGGCGACACCGGUGAUGCGACCGGCUCCGCGGGCUGCUACAACCGACUUCGCGUGGUGCUACAACCGACUUCGCGUGGUGCUACAACCAGCACGCGGGGAGCUGGAACCGGCUGCUCCAGAGCUGCGACGGCACGUCGCCGUUUGCUGGAACCGACACUGCGGGGAGCUACAACCAGCUUAUCAAUAGCUGCAACCAGCAGUCUGCGGUGCUACAACCAACAGAGGCGGUGGGGAAGAGAGGUAUUUUUGCUGGAACCAUGAGCUGAUUUUGCUACAACCAUGCAAUUUUUUUACUGGAACCAACAAUGGGACCAGCACAACGGGGAGCUGCAUAGGUUGCUUUUGCUGGAACUAUAGUUAUUCUUUGCUGGAACAAGGUCCACGACGAUGGCGAGCUGCGUGCUAUGUUGGGGGGCGAGAGUUGCUGGAACCGGCGUUUGGCUGAGCUGCAUCCGGCAGGGGUGGUGUAGGAGCGACGGCGAGAUGAGGAAGGCAUCUGGCGAUGGAGAAGUCAAGUUGUGGAGAGAGGCGGCGGUGAUCCGGCGAGCGAGCGGAGAUUCGGCGGGUCAUGUCCCCCGUCCAUGGCGCUCGCGCCCCUGUGCGUGCUCCCGUGAUUUGUAGGGGGAAGAAAAGUAAACGGCAUGGUGGGACGAAAGGGUCCUGUAUCUAACGGCUAAAAGCGGUUUCAUCCGACGUCCCGGGUCCGACCGGCCCAAAUUUGGGCCGGCAGACCGACGCCUAAUAGUGCCCAUUCAACUUUGGGUGUUCAAUUUUUUUUCA
Molecule: long non-coding RNA, 1027 nt
Organism: Triticum aestivum (bread wheat)
Lineage: Eukaryota; Viridiplantae; Streptophyta; Magnoliopsida; Poales; Poaceae
Exons: 2
Source: RefSeq, a predicted model, not a curated record